CCUGACUGCUAUCGGAUUGAUACUAAGCCAUGCGAGUCGUUGUASCAAUACAAGGCAGACGGCUCAGUAACACGUAGUCAACCUACCCUAUGGUCGGGGAUAAUCUCGGGAAACUGAGCAUAAUACCCGAUAGGUCAUAAUGCCUGGAAUGGUUUAUGGCCCAAAUGAUUUAUCGCCAUAGGAUGGGACUGCGGUCUAUCAGCUUGUUGGUGAGGUAAUGGCCCACCAAGGCAAUAACAGAUACGGGCUCUGAGAGGAGAAGCCCGGAGAUGGGUACUGAGACACGGACCCAGGCCCUAUGGGGCGCAGCAGGCGAGAAAACUUUGCAAUGUGCGAAAGCACGACAAGGUUAAUCCGAGUGUUUCCUGCUAAAGGAAUCUUUUGUCGACCCUAAAAACACCGAUGAAUAAGGGGUGGGCAAGUUCUGGUGUCAGCCGCCGCGGUAAAACCAGCACCUCAAGUGGUCAGGAGGAUUAUUGGGCCUAAAGCAUCCGUAGCCGGCUAUGCUAGUCUCCGGUUAAAUCCAUAUGCUUAACAUAUGGGCUGCCGGAGAUACUGCACAGCUAGGGAGUGGGAGAGGUAGACGGUACUUGGUAGGAAGGGGUAAAAUCCUUUAAUCUACUGAUGACCACCUGUGGCGAAGGCGGUCUACUGGAACACGUCCGACGGUGAGGGAUGAAAGCUGGGGGAGCAAACCGGAUUAGAUACCCGGGUAGUCCCAGCUGUAAACGAUGCAAACUCAGUGAUGCGCUGGCUUGUGGCCAGCGYAGUGCCGCAGGCAAGCCGUUAAGUUUGCCGCCUGGGAAGUACGUACGCAAGUAUGAAACUUAAAGGAAUUGGCGGGGGAGCACACAAGGGGUGAAGCCUGCGGUUC
Molecule: ribosomal RNA, 874 nt
Filed under: uncultured archaeon
Lineage: Archaea
Description: bacterial SSU rRNA
Rfam family: Archaeal small subunit ribosomal RNA
Source: RNAcentral